This 540-nucleotide long non-coding RNA is filed under the name Glycine max (soybean). RNAcentral describes it as "long non-coding RNA (GMAX_LNC000287)". Lineage: Eukaryota; Viridiplantae; Streptophyta; Magnoliopsida; Fabales; Fabaceae. The record is from RNAcentral.
AUUUUUAAUGAAUCAUGCUUCUAUAGAAUGUGUUGGUACAAUAAUCUCUACCUGUCCUUCCCAGGGAGGGAGCAUAUCUUAUGAAUGAUCACUUUUGUUGACCACAGUGAGUAUCCUGUAAAUUCUCCUUAGAGAGGGAGGAAUUUGUCCCAUUUAUGUGUGUAGUUAAAAUGAUUGAAGAGACUGUGUAAAUAGUAUUCUUGAGGAGAAACCAGAAUUGGCUUAUUUGGCUUUACUGAAAGAAGCUGAUAGUAGCAUUUGGGGGAUGGAUGAUGUGGGUAGUUGAAGCACCACCGCCUUUACAGUUGGGGGAUGGAGUAGUAGUAAUACUGAUUUGAUUUGUCGUUCACAUGGGCAAUUUAUCGGCUUGCUGCUACAAAAUUUCCCAUGCAGUGCGGCCCACAUUAUUAUGGUCGUGAUUUGGACUUCUAACCUCACAAGGCCUAUAGGAAAUUAAUUUCCGAGUUAGAAUAUUGAGUGCUUCUUUCAGAAAUUACUGACUAGUUCCAGAUGAUUGUAAUUUUUAUUUCAUAUGUAAUU